RNAcentral lists this ribosomal RNA (594 nucleotides) under Microcystis aeruginosa. RNAcentral describes it as "bacterial SSU rRNA". It matches the Rfam family "Bacterial small subunit ribosomal RNA", at positions 135 to 762 of the family's 1533-position model. Lineage: Bacteria; Bacillati; Cyanobacteriota; Cyanophyceae; Chroococcales; Microcystaceae. The record is from RNAcentral.
GGACGGGGACAACAGUUGGAAACGACUGCUAAUACCCGAUGUGCCGAAAGGUGAAACCUAAUUGGCCUGAAGAAGAGCUUGCGUCUGAUUAGCUAGUUGGUGGGGUAAAGGCCUACCAAGGCGACGAUCAGUAGCUGGUCUGAGAGGAUGAGCAGCCACACUGGGACUGAGACACGGCCCAGACUCCUACGGGAGGCAGCAGUGGGGAAUUUUCCGCAAUGGGCGAAAGCCUGACGGAGCAACGCCGCGUGAGGGAGGAAGGUCUUUGGAUUGUAAACCUCUUUUCUCAAGGAAGAAGUUCUGACGGUACUUGAGGAAUCAGCCUCGGCUAACUCCGUGCCAGCAGCCGCGGUAAUACGGGGGAGGCAAGCGUUAUCCGGAAUUAUUGGGCGUAAAGCGUCCGCAGGUGGUCAGCCAAGUCUGCCGUCAAAUCAGGUUGCUUAACGACCUAAAGGCGGUGGAAACUGGCAGACUAGAGAGCAGUAGGGGUAGCAGGAAUUCCCAGUGUAGCGGUGAAAUGCGUAGAGAUUGGGAAGAACAUCGGUGGCGAAAGCGUGCUACUGGGCUGUAUCUGACACUCAGGGACGAAAGCUA